UACGUAGGGUGCAAGCGUUGUCCGGAAUUAUUGGGCGUAAAGAGCUCGUAGGCGGUCUGUCGCGUCGGAUGUGAAAAUCCAGGGCUCAACCCUGGACCUGCAUUCGAUACGGGCAGACUAGAGUUUGGCAGGGGAGACUGGAAUUCCUGGUGUAGCGGUGAAAUGCGCAGAUAUCAGGAGGAACACCGGUGGCGAAGGCGGGUCUCUGGGCCGAUACUGACGCUGAGGAGCGAAAGCGUGGGGAGCGAACAGG
Molecule: ribosomal RNA, 253 nt
Filed under: uncultured bacterium
Lineage: Bacteria
Description: partial 16S ribosomal RNA
Rfam family: Bacterial small subunit ribosomal RNA
Source: RNAcentral